Formica exsecta is the source of this 747-nucleotide long non-coding RNA. RefSeq lists it as uncharacterized. The transcript is spliced from 2 exons. Lineage: Eukaryota; Metazoa; Arthropoda; Insecta; Hymenoptera; Formicidae. The record is from RefSeq and is a predicted model, not a curated record.
UGUGAUAAAGGCAGACACGUCUAUAUUAUACUGUUAUCUAUACGCUUAAAUACGCUUAGAUAUGCGUGCGAGACAAUAGAGCAGUAGAAAUACACGAUGUUGUCCGAUUUCAACAUAUUGAACACAAUUCUCUUUCAAAUAUGCAUAAAACAUGCAGAAAUAUUAAUGUGAGUAACAGCGGAACUAAAAUUAUUGAUAUUAUCGAUAAUUUCGGUCGGUAUUAUCAAUAAUUUUAGUUACGCUUAGAUGAGGGCGCUAACCCGUUGGAGUUCGCCCCUCGCUCCGGCAUCAUCUUAAUUAUUAAAAAAUAUGAACUUCCAGCGCCAACUUAUUUCCGGUGAAUGAGAAGAAGCCAAUGGUGCGAGAAAUAAUAUUUAAAAAAAUGGGAAGCCUCAUUGAUUAAAAUUCCAAAAUUAUAUGUUUAAUUACAAAAUUAUGUUUCAUUCUUACUAUUACCAUAAUUAAAAAAUAGUAUAUUUUGUUUGCAGGAAGUUCAUCUGCUGCAUAAAUUCCACAAUGACUUUUAUGGCGAAGAGAUCAAAGUGAUAAUUACUGGAUAUAUACGAUCAGAAAAGGAUUUCUCUUCUCUAUGUAAAAUAUAGUAGUGAUAUAAAAUAUAGGAACUUAUCAAAGAGAUAAAGAAUGAUAUUGCGAUAGCAGAACAAAAAUUAGAAGAACCUGUUGUAAAUAAAUCAAAAAAUGAUAAUUUUUUAAUAACUAAUAAAACAAAUGAUUAAUGACCAUGAA